GAGGGUAUAGUUCAGUGGUAGAGUGCAGGCUUAGCAUGCACAAGGUCCUGGGUUCAAGCCCCAGUACAUCCA
This is a transfer RNA of Camelus ferus (Wild Bactrian camel), 72 nucleotides long. It matches the Rfam family "tRNA". From Rfam's summary of the family: Transfer RNA (tRNA) molecules are approximately 80 nucleotides in length. The record is from Rfam. NCBI's taxonomy places the organism in Eukaryota, Metazoa, Chordata, Mammalia, Artiodactyla, Camelidae.